UAGAGUUUGAUCCUGGCUCAGAACGAACGCUGGCGGCGUGCCUAACACAUGCAAGUCGAACGGAAGUAAGAAGCUUGCUUUUUACUUUAGUGGCGCACGGGUGAGUAACGCGUAGAUAAUCUGCCUGAUGGUUUGGGAUAACACUUCGAAAGGGGUGCUAAUACCGGAUAAGCCCACGGAGUCCUUGGAUUCUGCGGGAAAAGGAGGGGACCUUCGGGCCUUCCGCCAACAGAUGAGUCUGCGUACCAUUAGCUAGUUGGUAGGGUAAAGGCCUACCAAGGCGACGAUGGUUAGCUGGUCUGAGAGGAUGAUCAGCCACACUGGAACUGAGACACGGUCCAGACUCCUACGGGAGGCAGCAGUGGGGAAUUUUGCGCAAUGGGGGGAACCCUGACGCAGCAACGCCGCGUGAGUGAUGAAGGCCCUUGGGUCGUAAAGCUCUGACAGAGGGAAAGAAAUGUGGGUGGCUAAUAUCCAUUCCACUUGACGGUACCCUCAAAGGAAGCACCGGCUAACUCCGUGCCAGCAGCCGCGGUAAUA
RNAcentral lists this ribosomal RNA (540 nucleotides) under uncultured bacterium. RNAcentral describes it as "bacterial SSU rRNA". It matches the Rfam family "Bacterial small subunit ribosomal RNA", at positions 1 to 525 of the family's 1533-position model. The record is from RNAcentral.